This 71-nucleotide transfer RNA is filed under the name bacterium. Its description in RNAcentral is "tRNA-Gly". It matches the Rfam family "tRNA". Rfam says of the family: Transfer RNA (tRNA) molecules are approximately 80 nucleotides in length. Their secondary structure includes four short double-helical elements and three loops (D, anti-codon, and T loops). Further hydrogen bonds mediate the characteristic L-shaped molecular structure. tRNAs have two regions of fundamental functional importance: the anti-codon, which is responsible for specific mRNA codon recognition, and the 3' end, to which the tRNAs corresponding amino acid is attached (by aminoacyl-tRNA synthetases). tRNAs cope with the degeneracy of the genetic code in two manners: having more than one tRNA (with a specific anti-codon) for a particular amino acid; and 'wobble' base-pairing, i.e. permitting non-standard base-pairing at the 3rd anti-codon position. The record is from RNAcentral.
GCGGGACUAGUACAUCGGUAGUAUAUAUCCUUCCCAAGGAUAAGAGGCGGGUUCGACUCCCGUGUUCCGCU